CGGUGGCGAGGCUGAGCAUAUCAAACUGUACACAUGGACUGUGACUAAUGGUGUGCCAGUGUGGUGGUGACUGCCACACACUCACACAGGUUCUUGGUACUCUCUGUAACCUGUAGAUGAUGGGUGGCGAGUCCGGCAACCACAGAUCCAUUCCCCUGCAUAAUUUUCGUUUUUUCAUUUGAUUUGGUACAAGGCCUACUCAGAAUGGGUUCCCUGAUCUCAAAAUUGUCAGUUUUCUUGCCUUUAGUUUAUAGGUACCUUAACAAAUACAUGUAUUUACCAUAUUGGCAGUCAGCACCAUACGACAUUCAUUCUUCAUGAUCUCAUAUUUGAGGUUAGCAGUUCGAAGUAAUGUAAGAGCUUGCAUGUUUAUAGUUCUAACUAGCUUUUAGUUUAGCGUAGGAUAAGUCUUCCAUGAAUUCUUAGUUAGCUAUUUAUUUUUGCUGGCUUUGCAUGACACUGCAAUUUUUUCAUAUUUUUCUUCAAAAGUUAACUAUUUUCUUAUCUACAAUUAUCUCCUAGCGUUAGCAAGUCUGUCGUCCCUGACCACCCUGUCAGUCAUCUAUACAACUGUGGUUCAUGCCUGCGUGCUAUCCGCUCCUAAAUUCUCACACCAUGUCAGGUGUUUAGAAGUGAUGAUCAUUGUGGUCUUUAGUUGUCAUGGCUGUAAUCCUAGUGCAUGGGCUUUUGUGGGCUGGUCCAACCGGAGUUGGUUGAUGGCAGGGCUGUGCUCCAGGGACCGUAUGGCUGAAGAAGGGAUGCAAAUGGUAAGAGUUUUGAGAUGCAUAAACUCCCGUCUUUGAAUCAGAAACAGAAAAUUGUUUGUUUUCUCGUUUCUUAGUUAUGCUACCCUGCUCCACAUAGGUUUUACAGUGAAGAGCUGAAGAAGUUGUGACGGCGAUGAAAGGACUGAAAGAUUUGCUCGAAGCAAAGACAUCUAGCCGAGAUACAUAUGGUAAGAAUCUUCAGAGAUUGACUUCUUUUCACCUACUAUUGAGAUAUAUACUUGCUCAUAGGUCACAACUCAAGUUACUUCCUUACCUGCACAUAAAGUAGUGAUAAGUCGAUAUAAUUUUUCCGAGAACCUAUUUUUUUAAUAUGACAGCAUUCUACCUGCCCUCUGUUCUCUUUUAUGAUAUUUUUUGCUUUUCAUACAUUUUGUAGCAACGAAGAGGAGGGAUCUUAUGUAUAAUAUGCGACAUCCAUGGUGCUUAAG
RNAcentral lists this long non-coding RNA (1216 nucleotides) under Triticum aestivum (bread wheat). RNAcentral's name for it is "long non-coding RNA (TAES_LNC027762)". The record is from RNAcentral. Lineage: Eukaryota; Viridiplantae; Streptophyta; Magnoliopsida; Poales; Poaceae.